ACUUCAACAUAUUGAAAGUAAUAUAGUUUUUUUUUUUUACUAACUGUACAUGAUCAGUUUGGAAAUUUUAUUUUUUAAUAUACAGUAAAAUUACUCAUUUAACUUUGAAAUUAAAUAAUCUAAAACUGUUGAGAUGCUUGGUAAAUGUUGCUGCUGCUGCUGUGAUGUUUGUUUUAUACAAAAGGUUGAUAUCCAGGCCAAAUUUGAAGAAGAAAAGAAGGCGAAUCUGGGAAAGCUAUAGAAAGGAUGAGUUUGAUUGCUGGAUCUUUUAUUUAUUUUUUUGGGUUUUGAAUAUGGACCCGUAAUGAAUUCUGUGCUUUUUUCAUGGCAAACGAAAAUAAAUGGGGGAAUUUGUUCGCAAAACUAAUCUUAUACGGGGACUGAUAAUGAUGGAGGUUAUGAUAUCUGUCAGGUAGCAGCCCAGCUACUCUAAGUGUGGUGGCUGGAGGUUGCCAUGUGUCAAAUAAAUUGUGGCUGCUCAAUGUCUGUAUGAGAAUCCUAUGCCAUGAAUCUAAAUUAUGUGGUGUUCUUUUCAACAGCAACAUGAGGUGUUAAAAAAUGAUUUCUGUAGUGCCUGAACCUCUAACUAUUUGACCCUUCGGCUCCUAUGUUUGCUUGUCAAGCUCACCCUGCAGCCUACGUUGUCUAAUUAAAUAGGAUAUUUUCCAAUCAACGAAAUUACCGCAAGCAAGAUCAGUGCUAUGAAUUAACACACCUUUAGAGUUCUUUAGGUGGAUUCCAUCUGUGUUUUGGACUGUCUUCGGGAGAGGAGGAGCAUUGUGGGCUGUUUUGAAUUGUUAUGCCUGUGAUUGUCGCAUUGAAACUUCCAUAAAAUCUGAGCACCCGCAAAAAGAAAGCAUGUCAAUCAUGUUAUAAAGUGCAUGCUUAUGAACUGCGAUAGAAAUCUUUAUAGUUUUCUUGAAGUACUUACUUAGUGUGGGUUUGAUGCUUGGCAUUUUCCCGCUCAGCUCCCUUCUUAUCUACAACACAAUUUAGAAAGGAGACAUUAUCAGAUUUAGAUAGUUACUGCAGAUAAUAAUUGUAGUGGAAGGAUCUUCAAACGGGUGGUCUUGCCACCACUUUGAGCCGCUUCCAUCUAUGGUGUGAUUCCUACAAGCUUGGUGAAUUCAAGCCACUACAAGAGAUCUCUACCCUGAGCAUUGAAGUUUGUUGGGGCAAUAAUUGUGCCAUACAACUGGGAAAAAGAUUCAUUGCAUCAUCAUUCACCACUAUGGAAUGCAUGAAUUGCUGUCAUUUUCUCUGCUAACAAAUUCUAUAUUUGAUGCUUACUUGAAAUACAAUGCUUGCUAACACAUUCAUGAAUUGUUUUUUUAAUUGCUAAGCCUUUUGUUUCUCUACCGUCAUAUCCUCUCUUGGCUGUGCUUUAUGGUUUGUGCCAGCUCUUGCACCUUUGUGGUUGAAGAGGUUUGUUCUUCUUUACCUCGGUUUCAGUUGCACUUCCUAUUUUGCAGAUUACUUUCCCUUUUGUUUUCUGCGGCAUCAAGCUGACUUUGCUCACGGCUUUUGGUUUGCAUGUUUUGCUGCUUCGUUGUUCAUGCCUUUAGGCUCUUACCUAUUAGUUUUCUUUUUGAUGAUGUUCGCCCUCAGUUGUGCUUACUGUUUUAGGAAAUCUCUCGCAACUUUGCAUGCCCUUUUUUCUAAUAGCUGGUGAGGUUCCCUCUUCUGUACGUCGCUUUCGUUUGAUCGCUCUCUUUUCCCUUUGUUUUUCGAUCCCACAUUAAGCUAUCUUCGCUCUAUGCUUGCUCUGUCCAAGAUUUCAUAUCUUUCCUUUUUAACUUUGUAUGGCUUUCUACGUUGUUGCCUUUCGUGAUGUUUGUUUAGCCAUUUUAUAUGCUCUCCCGGUUGCGCAUCCUGGUUUAGGACCGCUCAUGCAUCUUUUCUCCAACCGUUGACAAGGUUUGCUAUUCUUUGCCUCCAUUUCAGCUCCGCCAUCUGUUUUGGAGGUUGCUUCUUCUUCUUCUUCUUUUCUUCACUUUUAUAACAUCAACAUGACUUUGACCUUGGCUUUCACUCUGCCAUUUUGGAUGCUUUACCUCCUUUGUUUUGUAUAGUUUCAUGCUUUGUGA
This is a long non-coding RNA of Populus euphratica (Euphrates poplar), 2087 nucleotides long. RefSeq lists it as uncharacterized. NCBI's taxonomy places the organism in Eukaryota, Viridiplantae, Streptophyta, Magnoliopsida, Malpighiales, Salicaceae. The transcript is spliced from 2 exons. The record is from RefSeq and is a predicted model, not a curated record.